Molecule: long non-coding RNA, 1283 nt
Organism: Sardina pilchardus (European sardine)
Lineage: Eukaryota; Metazoa; Chordata; Actinopteri; Clupeiformes; Clupeidae
Exons: 4
Source: RefSeq, a predicted model, not a curated record
GAGUCUAAAAAAUGUGACUUGUUGCUUGACAACAGCCAAUUGCAUGCUCCUAUUUAAAACACGUCACACAGCGCCACCCUCAAAAAUUAGACUAAACAGCUGAUACAACAAUCUCUUCGCUUCAAACUCCAAUCGUGGCAGCAACCGAACCAAAGGUUUAAGAAAUAUAAUUAACUAGGCUACAGAAAGACAGAGAAUGGAUUCAAGAAAUGCAAGAAAAGUGGAGAUGCAUGGCAGUCAUCACAACCAACAGCCACCAACCCCAAGCCUAGCCAGGAGAAAGAGAAUACAAGAAACGACUGACAUUAGGAGCCCAACGGACAACAUGAUGUCUCCAUGCUCACGCAAACUCAAUGGGAAACCUACCAAAGAUAUACACACAACCCCAAAUGCAUCCAGGUCCAGGAGUUUGGACAAAGAAAACGUUCCUUGUGAAUAAACUAACUUUUACAAGAAGGCCUCAAUCACCUUCCUCAAUCACCUUCCUCACCCUCACCCUCUCAACUGCUUAGAAUGCUCUCAGUCUCAGUCAUGGUGAUGACCUUUGUUCUUUUUGUUCUCAGAAGGAUCAAAGUUGUUAUUUUUAGUUGCUGGUAUUUGUCUAGAAUGGAGCUAGACAGUGAGUAAAACAAUGGGCAUAUGUACAAUGAGUGUUAUGGAAUGCUUAGCUGUGAAGUUAGGCUCUAAAGCGGCCUAGAUUGCGGACUCUUUUGCAGCAGUCUCCCAGGGCAGGUGGCAGGACUCUGAUGGAUUUCUUUGGCAUGGGGGAGCACUGGGAAAUUAACUGACCUUUUUGGACCUUCUCACAUUUGGAGGUGCUUAAUCAGCUGCCAUCCUACUACAAACCAUCCUACUACUAACCAUCCGUCUGUCCUGUAUUUCUCUGACUUGUAGUCAAUAACGUUUUAAAGUUCUUUGCAAGCUAUGUAACAAUGUAGCUUAUAUUUACUAAUGAAGUGGUCAGCAGGCCAUAUAUUUAAUAGCCGAGACGAGACAAUCAAAUGAUCAAGUGCUGUACACUGCAAAAGGCUUAACCUUAGUUCUCUGCACUGUCUCUUUCUUUUUCAAGUGAAUGUACCAUUUUGCACUUUAUUGCUGGUAUGCUGCAGAUAUCCUGGAGUGUGUUGCACUGGUAUGUGAAGGGAUGCUAGCUGUCAAACCUACACAAUGAAUGUUAGGCAUGCGUGUGUGUGCGUUCUUCAUGGCAAAUUGCUGUGAAUGUUGUACAGUGUUCUGAAUCUGUUUACUGGUACCUUAUAUUUAAUAAAGACAAUGAUGUUGCA